RNAcentral lists this transfer RNA (92 nucleotides) under Streptomyces chrestomyceticus JCM 4735. RNAcentral's name for it is "tRNA-Thr". The record is from RNAcentral. Lineage: Bacteria; Bacillati; Actinomycetota; Actinomycetes; Kitasatosporales; Streptomycetaceae.
UCACCCGCGCGGGCGGCGGCGGCCACGGCGGCGGCGCUGGUGUCGCCGUCGGGGCCCGGCCGCCAGCCGCGUUCGAGGGCGCGGCGGGCGAU